UUAUCACUGUAGGAUGGGGCUGUGGCUCAUCAGGUAGUUGGCGAGGUAACGGCUCACCAAGCCUAUGACGGGUACGGGCCGUGAAAGCGGAUGCCCGGAGUUGGGUUCUGAGACAAGAAUCCAGGCCCUACGGGGCGCACCAGGCGCGAAACCUCCACAAUGCGGGAAACCGUGAUGGGGGGAAUCCGAGUGCUUGUUGGCGAAAUGCUGGCAGGCUUUUGUAGAGCGUAAAAGGCUCUAAGAAUAAGGACUGGGUAAGACCGGUGCCAGCCGCCGCGGUAACACCGGCGGUCCAACUGGUGAUCAGCAUUAUUGGGUCUAAAGCGUCCGUAGCCGGAUGGUUGGAUUCUGAGUGAAAUUUGCAGGCUUAACCUGCAAGCGUGCUUGGAACACCCGCCAUCUUGGGACCGGGAGAGGUAGGGGGUAGGCCUCGGGUAGAAGUAAAAUUCUAUAAUCCGAGGAGGACCACCAGUGGCGAAGGCGCCCUACCAGAACGGGUCCGACGGUGAGGGACGAAGGCCAGGGGAGCAAACCGGAUUAGAUACCCGGGUAGUCCUGGCUGUAAACGAUGCGGACUAUGUUUUGCGGAUUCUACGAGAGUCUGCAGGGCCGUAGUGAAGAUGUUAAGUCCGCCACCUGGGGAGUAUGGCCGCAAGGCUGAAACUUGAAGGAAUUGGCGGGGGGGCACCACAAGGGGUGGGACCUGCGGUUCAAUUGGAUUCAACGCCGUGAACCUCACCUGAGCCGACGGCAGAAUGAAGGUCAGUCUGAAGGGCUUACCGGACAAGCCGAAGGGUGUUGCAUGGCCGCCGACAGCUCGUGUCAUGAGAUGUCCGCUUAAGUGCGGCAACGAGCGAGACCCGUACCAUCAGUUGCUAAUCAAUUCUCCGGAAUUGAUGCACUUUGAUGGGACAGCUAGUGAUAAAUUAGAGGAAGGGGCGGGCGACGGUAGGUCAGUAUGGCCCUACAUGCUCAGGGCUACACGCGGGUCACAAUGGUUGGGACAGUAGGCUGCGACUCCGUAAGGGGAAGCCAAUCCCAUAAACCCAAUCCUAGUUCAGAUUGAGGGCUGCAACCCGCCCUCAUGAAGCCGGAAUCCCCAGUAAUCGGGUGUCAACAACGCCCGGUGAAUACGUCCCUGCUCCUUGCACACACCGCCCGUCAAGCCACUCAAGUGAGCUCUGGGUGAGGUCGCCCUUCUUGGGGUGAACGAGCCUGGGGUCUGUGAGAGGGGCUAAGUCGUAACAAGGUA
RNAcentral lists this ribosomal RNA (1252 nucleotides) under metagenome. Its description in RNAcentral is "bacterial SSU rRNA". It matches the Rfam family "Archaeal small subunit ribosomal RNA", at positions 196 to 1445 of the family's 1478-position model. The record is from RNAcentral.